GACGCAGCGACGCCGCCGUGGGGGGAUGACGCCUUCGGGUUGUAAACCUCUUUUUACCACCAACGCAGGCUCGAAGUUCUCUUCGGGUUGACGGUAGGUGGGGAAUAAGGACCCGGCUAACUACGUGCCAGCAGCCGCGGUAAUACGUAGGGUCCCGAGCGUUGUCCGGAAUUAUUGGGCGUAAAGAGCUCGUAGGCGGCGUGUCGCGUCUGCUGUGAAAGACCGGGGCUUAACUCCGGUUCUGCAGUGGAUACGGGCAUGCUAGAGGUAGGUAGGGGAGACUGGAAUUCCUGGUGUAGCGGUGAAAUGCGCAGAUAUCAGGAGGAACACCGGUGGCGAAGGCGGGUCUCUGGGCCUUACCUGACGCUGAGGAGCGAAAGCAUGGGGAGCGAACAGGAUUAGAUACCCUGGUAGUCCAUGCCGUAAACGUUGGGCGCUAGGUGUGGGGACUUUCCACGGUUUCCGCGCCGUAGCUAACGCAUUAAGCGCCCCGCCUGGGGAGUACGGCCGCAAGGCUAAAACUCAAAGGAAUUGACGGGGGCCCGCACAAGCGGCGGAGCAUGUUGCUUAAUUCGACGCAACGCGAAGAACCUUACCAAGGUUUGACAUCACCCGUGGACUCGCAGAGAUGUGAGGUCAUUUAGUUGGCGGGUGACAGGUGGUGCAUGGCUGUCGUCAGCUCGUGUCGUGAGAUGUUGGGUUAAGUCCCGCAACGAGCGCAACCCUUGUUCCAUGUUGCCAGCACGUAAUGGUGGGGACUCAUGGGAGACUGCCGGGGUCAACUCGGAGGAAGGUGGGGAUGACGUCAAGUCAUCAUGCCCCUUAUGUCUUGGGCUGCAAACAUGCUACAAUGGCCGGUACAAUGGGCGUGCGAUACCGUAAGGUGGAGCGAAUCCCUAAAAGCCGGUCUCAGUUCGGAUUGGGGUCUGCAACUCGACCCCAUGAAGGUGGAGUCGCUAGUAAUCGCGGAUCAGCAACGCCGCGGUGAAUACGUUCCCGGGCCUUGUACACACCGCCCGUCACGUCAUGAAAGUCGGCAACACCCGAAACUUGCGGCCUAACCCC
RNAcentral lists this ribosomal RNA (1065 nucleotides) under Nocardiopsis synnemataformans. Its description in RNAcentral is "bacterial SSU rRNA". It matches the Rfam family "Bacterial small subunit ribosomal RNA", at positions 385 to 1442 of the family's 1533-position model. The record is from RNAcentral. Lineage: Bacteria; Bacillati; Actinomycetota; Actinomycetes; Streptosporangiales; Nocardiopsidaceae.